Long non-coding RNA from Gigantopelta aegis, 866 nucleotides. RefSeq lists it as uncharacterized. NCBI's taxonomy places the organism in Eukaryota, Metazoa, Mollusca, Gastropoda, Neomphalida, Peltospiridae. The record is from RefSeq and is a predicted model, not a curated record. The transcript has 2 exons.
AAUACACCGUGUAAUUUCAGCGUCGAUGAAUAAACGCAGUUUUAGGUCAUUCCAAGUUGUUCGUCUAUUAAGAUCGGAGAGCAUCAGCGGGGCGUGUGUCAAGUCUGCCAUUUGUCAUGGAGGAUAAAUCAACAAUGGAGGGUCUCAUUGCUGGGAUGGUGAUCGCGAUUCUCGUCAUUCUGGUCCUCCUGUGCUACAUCAAACGACGACAGAUUCUAAAUAUUCUCCACUGUCGAACAGACAGCGGCUCGGACAGCAAAUACACGAACAUCGGGAAGCAUAAGAAGGUUCCAAACACUGCGGAAGAUGCGCUUUAAAAAACCCAUUUUGGUCCUGGUCUAAGCGGUGGAUCACACAAUAAGUAGGCAUACAUGAAAGUUAGAAAAUACAAGAAGCUUCCAAACACUGCGGACGAUGCACUUUCAUAUCAUGAUUUUGUUCUUGUUCUGGACUAAACAGUGGGUCAAACAAUAACGUACAUGAAAGUAAGAAAAUAUAACAAGGUUCCAAACAGAGCGGAAGGCAUGCAGGUGUUAAAAUCAAUUAAUUUUGUUCUUGAUGUAGACUAAAAAAUGGAUUAAACAAUAAAUACACAAAAGUUAAAACAACACAAGAGGUUUCCAAACAGCAGAACACGUAUUUUAAUAUCAGUCCAUUGUGUUACAGGGGCGUGCGCAGGAAAUUUUGCAGGGGUGGGGGGGGGGGGGGGGGGUCGAGGUGUCUGGCGAAGCCCGAUAACAUCUCAGUACUUCCAUAUCCAUUCACAGGAAUGUAAAAAAUCGUGAUAUGAAAAAAAAAUUCGCCAGAAGCCCAGAAAGACUACAUAUAUAGUAUCGUGAUAUGUAUAUUAAAGAGAUCAUGUUAUA